This 521-nucleotide long non-coding RNA is filed under the name Mus musculus (house mouse). RNAcentral's name for it is "predicted gene, 21679". The record is from RNAcentral. Lineage: Eukaryota; Metazoa; Chordata; Mammalia; Rodentia; Muridae.
GAGGACCGUAUUCAUGGAAGAGGAUCGAACAGACUACUGAGUUCUUAUGAGAAAAAUGGCUCUUAAGAAAUUGAAGGUGAUACCAAAGGAAAGUUACUUAUUACUUUUGGACUUUGAUGAUGAGGACGAUGAUAUAAAAGUUUCAGAGGAGGCUCUUUCGGAAGUAAAGAGCCCAGCAUUUGAUAAAAAUGAGAAUAUAUCGCCUCAAGCAGAAGCAGAUGAAGAUAUGGGAGAUGAAGUAGACAGUAUGUUGGAUAAAUCUGAAGGAAGAACAUCAACAACAAAUUUUGUGAGCAGUAUAUAACUACAUUUCAGAAGUCUUAUAUGGAUGUACAGAAAUUCAAUGAGGAAAAAGAAAAAUCAGUGAAUAGUUGUCAAAAAGAACAACAAGCAUUGAAACUGUCCAAAUGUAGUCAGAACCAGACCCUGGAAGCAGGUAAAGAAAUGCAUGAGAAGUCCAUGGAGCUGCAUCAUUGGACUCAAACUGAAUGGUCCAUGUGUUGCCACUGAUGUGAGCCAUU